RNAcentral lists this transfer RNA (87 nucleotides) under Ignavibacteria bacterium. Its description in RNAcentral is "tRNA-Ser". It matches the Rfam family "tRNA". Rfam says of the family: Transfer RNA (tRNA) molecules are approximately 80 nucleotides in length. Their secondary structure includes four short double-helical elements and three loops (D, anti-codon, and T loops). The record is from RNAcentral. Lineage: Bacteria; Pseudomonadati; Ignavibacteriota; Ignavibacteria. RNAcentral also lists the same sequence under 2 other names.
GGAGAGGUGCCAGAGUGGUUGAAUGGGCCGGUCUCGAAAACCGUUGUAAGAGCAAUCUUACCGAGAGUUCGAAUCUCUCCCUCUCCG